AACAAGGCGUACCUGCGGACCUGCGGAAGGAUCAUUACUGAGUGUAAAAACUCCCAAACCCACUGUGAACAUACCACUGUUGCUUCGGCGGAUGCGCCCCGGGCGCGCCCUACAAAGGCGUGCCCCGGAUCAAGGCCACCGCCGGGGGACCGAAACUCUUGUUUUCCUAAGGAUUCUCUGAGUGUGAUUAUUAAAUCAAAUCAAAACUUUUAACAACGGAUCUCAGAUCGGAAGAGCACA
This 240-nucleotide unclassified non-coding RNA is filed under the name soil metagenome. RNAcentral's name for it is "partial contains 5.8S ribosomal RNA, internal transcribed spacer 2, and large subunit ribosomal RNA". The record is from RNAcentral.